RNAcentral lists this transfer RNA (73 nucleotides) under Caulobacter phage CcrSC. RNAcentral describes it as "tRNA-Ala". It matches the Rfam family "tRNA". Rfam says of the family: Transfer RNA (tRNA) molecules are approximately 80 nucleotides in length. Their secondary structure includes four short double-helical elements and three loops (D, anti-codon, and T loops). Lineage: Duplodnaviria; Heunggongvirae; Uroviricota; Caudoviricetes; Jeanschmidtviridae. The record is from RNAcentral. RNAcentral also lists the same sequence under 6 other names.
GGGGAUAUAGCUCAGUUGGUAGAGCAGUUGCUUUGCAAGCAUCAGGUCGUCGGUUCGAGCCCGACUAUCUCCA